CCACGUACUUGUACAAGUACAAAUUAACGAUAACAGUUCAGACCUGAGAUUUGUACUACAUAGAUGGAGUAACUGCCUAAUGUACUUACCCAAGUACAAAUGAGGGAUUGCUCAUUUACCGGGUAGUUUUUUUACAUCGCCAACAUUGCUACUGUUAUUAUAAUUCUUUACUCUGUAGUCAAUUCCGUCAUGUUAGACAGGUUACGUCAACUGUCAGUGUUAGUGUCACUUUUUAGCAAGAUGACCAUGCGGUCGGCUCGUCGGCUAACACGAGCUUUCGACGAAAUACAAAUAGCAGAACUUCUUAAUAAUUCGGAGUUCGAAGACUCGGAUGAUGAAUAUGUGCCUGACCUGACCUCCCUGACCUAACCUAAACCUGUCCUCGGAAUCUGAAGGUGGAGAAAUAGAAAUCGCUGUAAGUGGAGGUGGAUCUACUCGUCGUACUCAAAGUGCUCGUGACCAACGAGUUGGACGUGGCCGUGGCAGAAGUACAAGUACAAGGGCACGACAUAGCGGGCAUAGUGCCUGUACCAUCAAAAAUGCGACGCUUAUAUGGCAAUAUCCACUUACCGGAACAUCUAGACAAACAACAACGAGGCCAUCUCUCUGGGUGUGACAAAAGGAGUUUAUUUAAAUGCUCUGACUGUAAUGUAGCUAUUUGCCUGAACUCAACAAGAAAUUGUUGCAGGGCCUUUCAUCGACAAGAGAAUUAAUAAUAAGAAAUAAAAAGUGAUUUUGAAAUAAGAUGUCAAUUAAACUAGCACGUAAGGAAGAUUGUUAUGUCCUCUAUCCUAUUUCGAUAAUUAAGAAUAGUGAUACUGUUAUCCUCUGGUUUAUAAAAGUAAAUUAUGCUAAUAUU
Melitaea cinxia (Glanville fritillary) is the source of this 859-nucleotide long non-coding RNA. RefSeq lists it as uncharacterized. The transcript has 2 exons. The record is from RefSeq and is a predicted model, not a curated record. NCBI's taxonomy places the organism in Eukaryota, Metazoa, Arthropoda, Insecta, Lepidoptera, Nymphalidae.